CACUGAGGACCACAUAAUAGAGAUAGACAGCAGCUUGAGCUGGCCGCCGGGGGUGCAAGGCGGAGGCGAGGCUCAUCGACUCAGUCGCGUAUGCGGCUUGCGCUGGGGACGCAGUCGCAAGAACUAGCAGCACGCAGCAACCAAGCACAACAUCCAUCUAGUGCACAGGUUGGGCUCAGCUAGGCGGAGGCGUGCGGCAGGUUCACCGUCGAGGGCAGCAGCCAGGGCCAUUGAUUUGGAAGACAAUGCCAUCGAAAGGCUCUUCUCAGAUGACUAUGGCAAAUCAACGCAAUUUGUCCGAUCGACGAGGCCAGCAACCUCUACCACAGAUUUAUGUUGAUGUUGACAGUGAGCAUGGGACUGCAGAGCGUCAAGAAAUAGGGACGACAAAGAGAGCCAAAUAGAGUCACCAGAUGAAGCUGUUCCUUAUUGAACUCCUAACAGAUCAUGACGUGCCAGGUUUUCGAACACAAAAUGCUUGGAAUAAGGAAGCAUGGACAAAUAUUGUUUGCCGCCUGAAUACAAAGUUUAGUACAUCAUUUACGACCAACCAAGUCAAGCAAAAGGAGCAGGAUUUGUAGAAGGAUUAUCGCAGUGUUAAAGAUUUGUUGGAUCAAAGUGGUUUUGGAUGGGAUAGUGACAGAAUGAUGGUGAGUGCACCACAAAGUGUUUGGGACACUUUUGCUGAUCGCAAGAACAAAGAUGCAAUUCAUUGGCGAGAUAAGUCCUUCCCAUAUUUUGAUAAUUUAGCUCCACUUUAUGAUGAUUCGGACCCCGCCGAAGAGCCGGUUUACUUCGAGAUCG
Oryza brachyantha (malo sina) is the source of this 804-nucleotide long non-coding RNA. RefSeq lists it as uncharacterized. Lineage: Eukaryota; Viridiplantae; Streptophyta; Magnoliopsida; Poales; Poaceae. The record is from RefSeq and is a predicted model, not a curated record. The transcript is spliced from 4 exons.